RNAcentral lists this ribosomal RNA (323 nucleotides) under uncultured eukaryote. RNAcentral's name for it is "partial 18S ribosomal RNA". It matches the Rfam family "Eukaryotic small subunit ribosomal RNA", at positions 1470 to 1796 of the family's 1831-position model. The record is from RNAcentral.
CCCUUAGAUGUUCUGGGCCGCACGCGUGCUACACUGAGUGGAUCAGCGGGUCAGGUUGCGCGAAAGCGUUUCCUAAUCUUUAAAUCCGCUCGUGAUGGGGAUUGACGGUUGCAAUUUUCUGUCAUGAACGAGGAAUACCUUGUAAGCGCGGGUCAUCAUCCCGCGCUGAAUACGUCCCUGCCCUUUGUACACACCGCCCGUCGCUCCUACCGAUUGAAUGAUCCGAUGAAUAUCAUGGAUUGAGGAUGCAAGCAGGUUCGCCUGUCUUCAUCUUCGAGAAGUGAAGUAAAUCUUAUCAUUUAGAGGAAGGAGAAGUCGUAACA